Molecule: transfer RNA, 74 nt
Filed under: Collimonas sp. OK607
Lineage: Bacteria; Pseudomonadati; Pseudomonadota; Betaproteobacteria; Burkholderiales; Oxalobacteraceae
Also listed under: 3 other names
Description: tRNA_Gly_CCC
Rfam family: tRNA
About the family: Transfer RNA (tRNA) molecules are approximately 80 nucleotides in length. Their secondary structure includes four short double-helical elements and three loops (D, anti-codon, and T loops). Further hydrogen bonds mediate the characteristic L-shaped molecular structure. tRNAs have two regions of fundamental functional importance: the anti-codon, which is responsible for specific mRNA codon recognition, and the 3' end, to which the tRNAs corresponding amino acid is attached (by aminoacyl-tRNA synthetases). tRNAs cope with the degeneracy of the genetic code in two manners: having more than one tRNA (with a specific anti-codon) for a particular amino acid; and 'wobble' base-pairing, i.e. permitting non-standard base-pairing at the 3rd anti-codon position.
Source: RNAcentral
GCGGGUGUAGUUCAGUGGCAGAACGAAAGCUUCCCAAGCUUUAGACGAGGGUUCGAUCCCCUCUACCCGCUCCA